CCUACGGGGGUCUGCAGUGGGGAAUAUUGCACAAUGGGCGCAAGCCUGAUGCAGCGACGCCGCGUGAGGGAUGACGGCCUUCGGGUUGUAAACCUCUUUCGCCAGGGACGAAGCGCAAGUGACGGUACCUGGAGAAGAAGCACCGGCCAACUACGUGCCAGCAGCCGCGGUAAUACGUAGGGUGCGAGCGUUGUCCGGAAUUACUGGGCGUAAAGAGCUCGUAGGCGGUUUGUCGCGUCGUCUGUGAAAUUCUGCAACUCAAUUGUAGGCGUGCAGGCGAUACGGGCAGACUUGAGUACUACAGGGGAGACUGGAAUUCCUGGUGUAGCGGUGAAAUGCGCAGAUAUCAGGAGGAACACCGGUGGCGAAGGCGGGUCUCUGGGUAGUUACUGACGCUGAGGAGCGAAAGCGUGGGGAGCGAACAGGAUUAGAUACCCGGGUAGUC
RNAcentral lists this ribosomal RNA (445 nucleotides) under uncultured bacterium. Its description in RNAcentral is "partial 16S ribosomal RNA". It matches the Rfam family "Bacterial small subunit ribosomal RNA", at positions 338 to 795 of the family's 1533-position model. The record is from RNAcentral.